UGGGGAAUAUUGCACAAUGGGCGAAAGCCUGAUGCAGCAACGCCGCGUGAGUGAUGAAGGCCUUCGGGUUGUAAAGCUCUGUCUUUUGGGACGAUAGUGACGGUACCAAAGGAGGAAGCCACGGCUAACUACGUGCCAGCAGCCGCGGUAAUACGUAGGUGGCAAGCGUUGUCCGGAUUUACUGGGCGUAAAGGAUGCGUAGGCGGAUUUUUAAGUGAGAUGUGAAAUACCCGGGCUUAACUUGGGUGCUGCAUUUCAAACUGGGAAUCUAGAGUGCGGGAGAGGAGAAUGGAAUUCCUAGUGUAGCGGUGAAAUGCGUAGAGAUUAGGAAGAACACCAGUGGCGAAGGCGAUUCUCUGGACCGUAACUGACGCUGAGGCAUGAAAGCGUGGGUAGCAAACAGGAUUAGAUACCCUGGUAGUCCACGCCGUAAACGAUGAGUACUAGGUGUAGGAGGUAUCGACCCCCUCUGUGCCGCAGUUAACACAAUCAAGUACUCCGCCUGGGAAGUACGAUCGCAAGAUUAAAACUUGAAAUGAAUUGACGGGGGUCAUAGCUGUUUCCU
Molecule: ribosomal RNA, 565 nt
Filed under: uncultured bacterium
Lineage: Bacteria
Description: partial 16S ribosomal RNA
Rfam family: Bacterial small subunit ribosomal RNA
Source: RNAcentral